GCCUACGGGGGGCAGCAGUAGGGAAUCUUCCACAAUGGGCGCAAGCCUGAUGGAGCAACACCGCGUGAGUGAAGAAGGGUUUCGGCUCGUAAAGCUCUGUUGUUGGAGAAGAACGUGCGUGAGAGUAACUGUUCGCGCAGUGACGGUAUCCAACCAGAAAGUCACGGCUAACUACGUGCCAGCAGCCGCGGUAAUACGUAGGUGGCAAGCGUUAUCCGGAUUUAUUGGGCGUAAAGCGAGCGCAGGCGGGUGCUUAGGGCUGAUGUGAAAGCCUUUGGCUUUACCGAAGAAGUG
RNAcentral lists this ribosomal RNA (294 nucleotides) under uncultured bacterium. RNAcentral's name for it is "partial 16S ribosomal RNA". It matches the Rfam family "Bacterial small subunit ribosomal RNA", at positions 337 to 623 of the family's 1533-position model. The record is from RNAcentral.